UACGUAGGGGGCUAGCGUUGUCCGGAAUCAUUGGGCGUACAGCGCGUUUAGGCGGUCCGGUAAGUCCGCUGUGAAAGUCGGGGGCUCAACCCUCGAAAGCCGGUGGAUACUGUCGGGCUAGAGUACGGAAGAGGCGAGUGGAAUUCCUGGUGUAGCGGUGAAAUGCGCAGAUAUCAGGAGGAACACCAAUUGCGAAGGCAGCUCGCUGGGACGUUACUGACGCUGAGACGCGAAAGCGUGGGGAGCAAACAGG
This 253-nucleotide ribosomal RNA is filed under the name uncultured bacterium. RNAcentral's name for it is "partial 16S ribosomal RNA". It matches the Rfam family "Bacterial small subunit ribosomal RNA", at positions 524 to 776 of the family's 1533-position model. The record is from RNAcentral.